This 560-nucleotide ribosomal RNA is filed under the name uncultured bacterium. RNAcentral's name for it is "bacterial SSU rRNA". It matches the Rfam family "Bacterial small subunit ribosomal RNA", at positions 338 to 916 of the family's 1533-position model. The record is from RNAcentral.
CCUACGGGAGGCAGCAGUGGGGAAUCUUGCGCAAUGGGCGAAAGCCUGACGCAGCCAUGCCGCGUGAAUGAUGAAGGUCUUAGGAUUGUAAAAUUCUUUCACCGGGGACGAUAAUGACGGUACCCGGAGAAGAAGCCCCGGCUAACUUCGUGCCAGCAGCCGCGGUAAUACGAAGGGGGCUAGCGUUGCUCGGAAUUACUGGGCGUAAAGGGAGCGUAGGCGGAUAGUUUAGUCAGAGGUGAAAGCCCAGGGCUCAACCUUGGAAUUGCCUUUGAUACUGGCUAUCUUGAGUACGGAAGAGGUAUGUGGAACUCCGAGUGUAGAGGUGAAAUUCGUAGAUAUUCGGAAGAACACCAGUGGCGAAGGCGACAUACUGGUCCGUUACUGACGCUGAGGCUCGAAAGCGUGGGGAGCAAACAGGAUUAGAUACCCUGGUAGUCCACGCUGUAAACGAUGAGUGCUAGUUGUCGGCAUGCACGCAUGUCGGUGACGCAGCUAACGCAUUAAGCACUCCGCCUGGGGAGUACGGUCGCAAGAUUAAAACUCAAAUGAAUUGACGG